UGGGGAAUAUUGGGCAAUGGGGGAAACCCUGACCCAGCAACGCCGCGUGAAGGAAGAAGGCUUUCGGGUUGUAAACUUCUUUUAUGAGGGACGAAGAAGUGACGGUACCUCAUGAAUAAGCCACGGCUAACUACGUGCCAGCAGCCGCGGUAAUACGUAGGUGGCAAGCGUUGUCCGGAUUUACUGGGUGUAAAGGGCGCGUAGGCGGGAUAGCAAGUCAGGUGUGAAAUCCGGGGGCUCAACCCUCGAACUGCACUUGAAACUGUUAUUCUUGAGUGAUGGAGAGGCAGGCGGAAUUCCUAGUGUAGCGGUGAAAUGCGUAGAUAUUAGGAGGAACACCAGUGGCGAAGGCGGCCUGCUGGACAUUAACUGACGCUGAGGCGCGAAAGCGUGGGGAGCAAACA
RNAcentral lists this ribosomal RNA (404 nucleotides) under uncultured prokaryote. Its description in RNAcentral is "bacterial SSU rRNA". It matches the Rfam family "Bacterial small subunit ribosomal RNA", at positions 355 to 774 of the family's 1533-position model. The record is from RNAcentral.